UAAACAUUGGUGUAAGGCUUGUGGAUGUCGACGUGUAUGCAAAGCCAAAGUGUGCUCUCGACGUGUCUGCAAACGAGUCAGAUGUACUAGGAGAGUAUGCCGUAUCGUAAUCAAAUACAGGAUCGUUAGAUACAAAUACCGCAACCCUUAUUACAAAGGAUAUGGAAGUCUCUACUUGUGGAAGACCAAAAAGGUUCCAUACAAAGUUCGUGUCUGCAAAAAUGUGCGAAGUUUCUGCCCCAAAUGUUACAACCAACGUUACAAUUGUGGUCGUGUUUGCCGCCACAUAUGUAAAUUCAGAAAG
Paramuricea clavata is the source of this 304-nucleotide non-coding RNA. The record is from the annotation of a GenBank genome assembly. NCBI's taxonomy places the organism in Eukaryota, Metazoa, Cnidaria, Anthozoa, Malacalcyonacea, Plexauridae.